GGUGGCUCAGUGUUAGAAUGCUUGCCUUGCAUGCAAGAGGCCCUGGGUUCGAAUCCUUAGCACCA
This 65-nucleotide transfer RNA is filed under the name Dipodomys ordii (Ord's kangaroo rat). It matches the Rfam family "tRNA". Rfam says of the family: Transfer RNA (tRNA) molecules are approximately 80 nucleotides in length. Lineage: Eukaryota; Metazoa; Chordata; Mammalia; Rodentia; Heteromyidae. The record is from Rfam by way of RNAcentral.